This 242-nucleotide ribosomal RNA is filed under the name uncultured bacterium. RNAcentral's name for it is "partial 16S ribosomal RNA". It matches the Rfam family "Bacterial small subunit ribosomal RNA", at positions 8 to 239 of the family's 1533-position model. The record is from RNAcentral.
AGAGUUUGAUCAUGGCUCAGGAUGAACGCUAGCUACAGGCUUAACACAUGCAAGUCGAGGGGCAGCAUGGACCCAGCUUUGCUGGGUUUGAUGGCGACCGGCGCACUGGUGAGUAACGCGUAUCCAACCUGCCCUUUACUCCGGGAUAGUCUCCUGAAAGGGAGUUUAAUACCGGAUGUGUUUGUCUUUCCGCAUGGGAGCGACAAAUAAAGAUUGAUUGGUAAAGGAUGGCGAUGCGUCCC